RNAcentral lists this long non-coding RNA (883 nucleotides) under Gallus gallus (chicken). Its description in RNAcentral is "lncRNA (ENSGALG00010027508.1)". The record is from RNAcentral. Lineage: Eukaryota; Metazoa; Chordata; Aves; Galliformes; Phasianidae.
AGUUUAAGCUGUAGGCACAAAAGAGAGAGCCCACCUGCAUAAAACACCCACAGCCUCACCCCCCCAUGAUGCCUUUUGCUGAAUCCAUGAGCGAUUUGAUACAGACCCCACGUCAAAUGGCUGAUACUGGAGAGCUAGGGUCUGUCCUUGAUACACUGCCAUAGACCCAUAUACAACAAAUGGAGCUUGUAUGUUAGCUGUACAAGUGUCAUACUGAGUAGUACACAGCACUUUGAAUUGCAUCCCAUUUAGAUCCCCUUCUGCAUUUCGAGAGGAGCGCCCACCAAUAGGUAUGUCAAUUUUAAGCUGUUAGACUGCCUUUUUUUUCCGGGGAAAAUGGUGCAUGCUGUGGAAAAGCAGGAGAGGUGAGGAAGGGCGAGGUGACACCAGCCUAGGGCUGUCUCCUUGGGCUGUCCCCAUGCUGUGAGCAGCUUCGUGUCACAGAACAGCAUGGCUCCGGAUCAAGAAUGUGUCUGGAAGAGUUGGAGCAGACUGGGAUUUAGAGAUGUGCACAGCCUGCUCUUUGAACUGUGGUUUGGCAAGACUUUGAUCUUAAAUGAUCUCGGGGAGAAUAGGUGUCAAACUGAUAAAAAUGUGCUUUCAAGUUGUUUGCCCAGACCAUGAUUGCACCGGGGCGGCCUUCAGACCUGGAAGCACCACUCCUAAAGGUAAGACCAACCGCAGCUUUCUGUGUCGGCUUGCUUUUUCCCUACAUUUCAGAACCAUCCCGUGGUCCUUUGUAUGUGGUCACCGAUAUAACGCACCUCAAAGGUGGUCACCGAUAUAACACACCUCAAAGAUGGUCACCGAUAUAACACACCUCAAAGAUGGUCAUCGAUAUAACACACCUCAAAGAUGGUCAUCGAUAUAACACACCUCUAAG